UGGGGAAUUUUGGACAAUGGGCGCAAGCCUGAUCCAGCUAUUCCGCGUGUGGGAAGACGGCCUUCGGGUUGUAAACCACUUUUGUAGAGAACGAAAAGUCUAAGGUUAAGAGCUAUAGACGCUGACGGUACUCUAAGAAUAAGCACCGGCUAACUACGUGCCAGCAGCCGCGGUAAUACGUAGGGUGCGAGCGUUAAUCGGAAUUACUGGGCGUAAAGGGUGUGCAGGCGGUUUUGCAAGAUGGAUGUGAAAGCCCCGGGCUUAACCUGGGAAAGCCAUACAUGACUGCAGGACUAGAGUACGUCAGAGGGGGGUGGAAUUCCAAGUGUAGCAGUGAAAUGCGUAGAUAUUUGGAAGAACACCGAUGGCGAAGGCAGCCCCCUGGGACGCAACUGACGCUCAUACACGAAAGCGUGGGGAGCAAACAGG
Molecule: ribosomal RNA, 429 nt
Filed under: uncultured bacterium
Lineage: Bacteria
Description: bacterial SSU rRNA
Rfam family: Bacterial small subunit ribosomal RNA
Source: RNAcentral